This 274-nucleotide ribosomal RNA is filed under the name uncultured bacterium. RNAcentral's name for it is "partial 16S ribosomal RNA". It matches the Rfam family "Bacterial small subunit ribosomal RNA", at positions 523 to 796 of the family's 1533-position model. The record is from RNAcentral.
AUACGGAGGAUCCAAGCGUUAUCCGGAAUCAUUGGGUUUAAAGGGUCCGUAGGCGGGUUUGUAAGUCAGUGGUGAAAGUUUUCGGCUCAACCGGAAAAUUGCCAUUGAUACUGCAAGUCUUGAAUCAUUAUGAAGUGGUUAGAAUGUGUAGUGUAGCGGUGAAAUGCAUAGAUAUUACACAGAAUACCGAUUGCGAAGGCAGAUCACUAAUAAUGUAUUGACGCUAAGGGACGAAAGCGUGGGUUGCGAACAGGAUUAGAAACCCUAGUAGUCC